GAUGACAUAAUAUUGCAAAUCACCACUAAUAAGAGUUGGUUUAUUAGCCACAAGAAACAAAAGGAAAAGGAGAAUUACAGAGAAACAGGUGGCCACAGAGUGAAACUGAAGAUGAUAGAGAUACUAAGCAUUUUCAAUGCACAAUAUUCUUGUUGUAUGGAAAGAAGACUUCUCCUAAUUUAAAAAAGCAAAAUAAAGUAAUGGGACCCCCUCUUCCUCCUCCCAAAUAGAGAUAAUCUAUAUUUUCUUCCAAAGUCUCAUUUUACAGAUUGCAUGCUACCGAACU
This 286-nucleotide long non-coding RNA is filed under the name Nicotiana benthamiana. Its description in RNAcentral is "long non-coding RNA (NBEN_LNC030306)". Lineage: Eukaryota; Viridiplantae; Streptophyta; Magnoliopsida; Solanales; Solanaceae. The record is from RNAcentral.